CGGCAGGCUUAACACAUGCAAGUCGAACGCACCCUUCGGGGUGAGUGGCGCACGGGUGAGUAACGCGUGGGAAAUUGCCUUGGAGUGGGGGAUAACCACUGGAAACGGUGGCUAAUACCGCAUACGCCCUACGGGGGAAAGAUUUAUCGCUCCGAGAUGUGCCCGCGUCGGAUUAGGUAGUUGGUGAGGUAAUGGCUCACCAAGCCGACGAUCCGUAGCUGGUCUGAGAGGAUGAUCAGCCACACUGGGACUGAGACACGGCCCAGACUCCUACNNNAGGCAGCAGUGGGGAAUAUUGGACAAUGGGCGCAAGCCUGAUCCAGCCAUGCCGCGUGAGUGAUGAAGGCCUUCGGGUUGUAAAGCUCUUUCAGAGGUGACGAUGAUGACGGUAACCUCAGAAGAAGCCCCGGCUAACUUCGUGCCAGCAGCCGCGGUAAUACGAAGGGGGCUAGCGUUGUUCGGAAUUACUGGGCGUAAAGCGCGCGUANGCGGUGUGCAUAGUCA
Molecule: ribosomal RNA, 504 nt
Filed under: uncultured bacterium
Lineage: Bacteria
Description: bacterial SSU rRNA
Rfam family: Bacterial small subunit ribosomal RNA
Source: RNAcentral